GGACGAACGCUGGCGGCGUGCUUAACACAUGCAAGUCGAACGGAAAGGCCCCCUUGUGGGGUACUCGAGUGGCGAACGGGUGAGUAACACGUGAGUAACCUACCCUUGACCUUGGGAUAACUUCAGGAAACUGGGGCUAAUACCGGAUAGGAGCUCCUGCUGCAUGGUGGGGGUUGGAAAGUUUCGGCGGUUGGGGAUGGACUCGCGGCUUAUCAGCUUGUUGGUGGGGUAGUGGCUCACCAAGGCUUUGACGGGUAGCCGGCCUGAGAGGGUGACCGGCCACAUUGGGACUGAGAUACGGCCCAGACUCCUACGGGAGGCAGCAGUGGGGAAUAUUGCACAAUGGGCGGAAGCCUGAUGCCAGCAACGCCGCGUGCGGGAUGACGGCCUUCGGGUUGUAAACCGCUUUCGCCUGUGACGAAGCGUGAGUGACGGUAAUGGGUAAAGAAGCACCGGCUAACUACGUGCCAGCCGCCGC
Molecule: ribosomal RNA, 478 nt
Filed under: uncultured bacterium
Lineage: Bacteria
Description: bacterial SSU rRNA
Rfam family: Bacterial small subunit ribosomal RNA
Source: RNAcentral